AGGAAAUACAAUGACACGAGUUCCUCCUACUGUUUCUACAAGGAAGAGGAAGGCUGAGCAAACUUUAACUUUGGAAAGUAAACGAGGCAAAACACGAGGACGAGGCCAGAGGUAAGAGGUUGGGGGUGAGGAGGAUGUGGUGGUUGAGCAACAUCGUGAGCAAAUGAAACGAGUUCCUCCUACCGUUUCUGCAAGGAAGAGGAAUGCUGACCAAACUUUAACUUUGGAAAGGAAACGAGGAAAAA
This is a long non-coding RNA of Rhododendron vialii, 245 nucleotides long. RefSeq lists it as uncharacterized. NCBI's taxonomy places the organism in Eukaryota, Viridiplantae, Streptophyta, Magnoliopsida, Ericales, Ericaceae. The transcript is spliced from 2 exons. The record is from RefSeq and is a predicted model, not a curated record.